GAAGUCCAGGGAUUUCACCGAGCCUCAGACUUGACCCCACCAGCCAGAAAGCCCCCGCCGCAGAGAUCGCCCAGUGAGGAUGUUUCGGCUCCCUAAAUCUCCCGGACAGCCAAGCACAGGCUUUGGGAACUCGGCAGAGCUGGUGCGGGACACCGGGAGCCUGGAUUGGAUAUAGAAACUCUGCAUCCAGGUCUGCAGAGGUCCUGUUGUGGCGAGAAGACGGGGGAACCAGCCUUUGAAAGCAAGACCAUCUUCAGAACGAUUAAACAAAAAGAAAAAAAACGCAGCAGCCUUUUUCCCUGGGUGGAUAACGCAAAACCCAAGAGACUAAAUGAAAACAGGGAGUGCAAAGCCCCACCGAGACGGGUCACGGCAGAGGGGAAGGAGGUAACAGCAUCUCCGACCCUCCUUCCCGCGGGGACGUGGGACCCUGGAGCGUCUCCCUGCUCGGGGUCCUACCAGGCGGUGCCGGCCCCAGCGCGGCAGUGGAAGAGCUCGGCACGGCCACGGUGCCGCUGGGCAGGGAGCAGGGCAGGGGAGCUGCCUGCCCUCUCUGCGGGCUCUACGUAAGGUGUCCUUCAAGGGCUAGUUCCAAACCAGUGAAAACCAGGGACAAAUCAGUUCUCAUUUCCACUGCCACAUUUACACGAUCUUUUUUAGCUGCCGUUGAAAGUGUUUCUAUGAUCGCUGCCUGAAUUAAGCCAGAGGUCUCUUGGAUCCGUCCACUUUUGUUUCGUUUUGGGCAUGUUUUUGGCAGGGCACCAUCAUUUCACAAGAAAAAAAAUAUGCUUUUCUGUUAGAGCCAAGGCGGUGGGCACAGCGUAAUGACACGUGAUGCUCCAGUCCCGUAAAAAAAAAAAAAAAAAAAAAAAAAAAAGGAGCUCUGGUCCCUGAACCAGCAGGCACUCGGGCACGCUGCACCGCUCAUCUCAUGUCACGACAGUCACGGGGACACAUGCAGGUUCUGUGAGCCUUGCUCCAGUUAGGAGUUACUCAGUGGGUGUAGCGGGGAUGAGGGUUUAGUUAUCGCUACCUAUGGGAUUAAAGGGGGGGACUCAGCAUUCUCAUUCCAUGGUCACUGUGAUCCAAAACCCACCCAGAGCCUGGUACAGCCCUCGUGCAGGUAGUUGUACCCCCGUGAUUUCACCCGGGCUGGUCGUUCCCCGCGGGAGGACAGUCCCCGGCAUGAGCCCAUCAGUAUCUCAAUGCUCCCCCCUUCAGGGUCCUGUGGUUUGCCACUGGUUACCACCACCAUCCCCAACGUAUCCGAGAAAGGAGCCACAGAGAGAAAAAAUCUCUCCAUUUUUGUCAAAUUUUGCUUUUUCCAUUGAUUUUUUUCCUUUUUUCUGCCCAGUGCAGUGGGGUUUUUGUGGGCGCCCCUCCCCAGCUCAGGCACUCCCCUGUACCAGGCUCUGCUGAGCAGCGCUCACAGGUCACA
This is a long non-coding RNA of Chroicocephalus ridibundus (black-headed gull), 1438 nucleotides long. RefSeq lists it as uncharacterized. The transcript has 2 exons. The record is from RefSeq and is a predicted model, not a curated record. Lineage: Eukaryota; Metazoa; Chordata; Aves; Charadriiformes; Laridae.